GCGCCCGUAGCUCAGUUGGAUAGAGCACCGGCCUUCUAAGCCGGGGGUCGAAGGUUCGAGUCCUUCCGGGCGCGCCA
RNAcentral lists this transfer RNA (77 nucleotides) under Acidobacteria bacterium RIFCSPLOWO2_12_FULL_67_14. Its description in RNAcentral is "tRNA-Arg". It matches the Rfam family "tRNA". From Rfam's summary of the family: Transfer RNA (tRNA) molecules are approximately 80 nucleotides in length. Their secondary structure includes four short double-helical elements and three loops (D, anti-codon, and T loops). Lineage: Bacteria; Pseudomonadati; Acidobacteriota. The record is from RNAcentral. RNAcentral also lists the same sequence under 3 other names.